CCCCGGAUACUUCUACAACUAACCUGCUUGGUGUCUGAUGCUGAUGCAGUCUGGGCACUAGUAUCUGUUGGCUUGCUGACUAUCACUGACGAUGAAGUACUUCUCCAAAUCUUGACCCAGUGUCUUCUGCCAUCAUUGUUCAGGGUAGUACUGCAAAGAAUAGUCUCCAGGGUCUGCCUCCAACAUUUGCUUCCCGACCACCAUGUGCUACGCUUGCAUCACUACAUGUGGGUUACCCUGAUACUGUGAAGAAAACCUACAAUAUGAUGCUUGACUUGGGACAGAAAAAAAAACAUUGGCAACUUGUGUGGCCAACUCAUUGCCGUAUUUAAAAUCAUUGUACUGCUACCUCCAUUGUUUAACAUAACUAAAAGCAGAUUGUUUUUGCUUUGUUUCAAAAUUUUUGUAAUACGAGUUAAAACUACAUUGAAAAAAAUAUAUCAUCUUUAACUUUGAACUGUCACUACAUUUGAUUUAGGGUAAUUAUGUGUGUGAAGAAUAGAACAUUGUUGUCAUGAAUUUGUAAUAGAUUUUUGAAGUAUUUAAGUUACUAGAGUAAUGGUAACUUUUUUUUUUUAAAGGCAAUUGGUCAAAACUAGAUUUCUGUUCAAGUAAAUACAACUUAGAAAUUCCAAGUUGCAGGAAAUGUUACUUGAUUUAGCUAAAUUUAAAUGAGUUGUUUGAAAUACGUACAUAGUAUAAUGUACUUAAUUUAGUUGUUGGAAAUAGUAAUUCUGAGUUACACGUUUACAACACUUAUAAAUAAACCUUUGUUAGUACAAAUUACUAUUCUUAUUUCACUUUACUUGUUUUUUUUUAAGGUUUACUCAUUAUAAUUUACAGUGCAGACAAGCACAUGCCCAGUGCACACUAGUGAGAUAAAUUCAAAACACUGUAAUUGUAAUAAAGUACUGUAACUAUACUGUACUACACUGUGUGAUUCUUUCAGCUCUCUCUCCAGUGCUAGGAUGCAUUUUUAAAGCAGUCACCUGUGCUACUGAAUGCUUGCUUAUGGAUAAUUGUGUGUUAUUUGAGUUCAUACUGUGACAAUAGAGUUAACUAUUUGA
Molecule: long non-coding RNA, 1067 nt
Organism: Carassius auratus (goldfish)
Lineage: Eukaryota; Metazoa; Chordata; Actinopteri; Cypriniformes; Cyprinidae
Exons: 2
Source: RefSeq, a predicted model, not a curated record